CCUGAUCCAGCCAUGCCGCGUGGGUGAAGAAGGCCUUCGGGUUGUAAAGCCCUUUAGGUGGGGAGGAAGGCAUUCAUGCUAAUACCAUGGAUGAUUGACGUUACCCACAGAAUAAGCACCGGCUAACUCCGUGCCAGCAGCCGCGGUAAUACGGAGGGUGCAAGCGUUAAUCGGAAUUACUGGGCGUAAAGCGCACGUAGGCGGUUUGACAAGUGGGAUGUGAAAGCCCUGGGGCUCAACCUGGGAACUGCAUCCCAAACUGUCAGGCUAGAGUAUGGUAGAGGGGGGCGGAAUUCCCGGUGUAGCGGUGAAAUGCGUAGAGAUCGGGAGGAACAUCAGUGGCGAAGGCGGCCCCCUGGACUGAUACUGACGCUGAGGUGCGAAAGCGUGGGGAUCAAACAGGAUUAGAUACCCUGGUAGUCCACGCUGUAAACGAUGAGAACUGGCCGUCGGGCCCUUCGGGGUUUGGUGGCGUAGCUAACGCGCUAAGUUCUCCGCCUGGGGAGUACGGCCGCAAGGCUAAAACUCAAAUGAAUUGACGGGGGC
This 546-nucleotide ribosomal RNA is filed under the name uncultured bacterium. RNAcentral describes it as "bacterial SSU rRNA". It matches the Rfam family "Bacterial small subunit ribosomal RNA", at positions 382 to 920 of the family's 1533-position model. The record is from RNAcentral.